UCUUUUCCUUCAUCUUUGCCAUUAUUGUUCAAUGUCUUCAUUCAUUAUACACAAGCAAACUUGUAUAAAUUAAAAAGAUAAUACACAAAAAAAAGAAAAUAUGUCGUAUAAAAGAAAUUUAUUGGCAUAAAAGAAGAACAGCCCAAUAUGCGUAUCGUUGCGCGCGCAUAAUUAACUAAAAGCAAAAGAGGGACAGGGAUUGCCAUCUUACGGUAAUUACGGUUGGUGCCAUUAUUGUAGAUUAUUCUCGGUCCGGUUUUUUACGUAAUCCGAUAGUUACUACCGAUAAACUCGAUAAUUAUCGCAUAAAGUCAGUUUUUGCCUGUUUUCAAUAUUUAUCGUGGAAAUCCCUAUUUUUUUACUGGGAAAAAAGACUAAUAUUUGACUAUAUCAAACUGUUUUAUAUAAUUUCCUGAAUAUGUGAGUGUAACGAGUAUCUAUGCAUUAAAAAUAAUAAUACGUUAUAGGAAAAUUUCUAUAUUCGUAAUAAUCGAUGAUAUUAUUGAAAGGAAUCGAAUAAAUGUAAUGAUAUUUUAUUUAAUCGUGGUGCAAUUUCAGUGAUUAUAUCAGAAAAUCAAUGUACUAUUUCUAACCAGUCGAGAUUAUCGCGUAGAUAUCCGACAAUAUAGAAUUCAUAAUACCACGAACAGUUACAUAAAUACAUAGUUACAUGUCUCUAAGGAAUGUGUUGACUUAUAGAUAAUUGAAAAUAAAGAAAGAAGAUUUCAUAAAGAUUUCAUAAAAGUAAGAAGAAUUGAUAUUGUUAUGUUUCUCCAAUUUCAUCAUGUGAAUCAAAUUGGAAUAUUAUUGAAAUUUGACGGAAAGUCUGACAAGCAACGUGAUAUCCGUCUUCGUUUUACGUAAUAUCCAUAACGACAAUACACGAGGAAAAUUAUCUUCGAUGUUAAUCCCUGUUUCAACGCACCCACGUCUUCCACGACAUUUCCAUAUUCUAUCGCGAUAAGCCGCGACCAAGGAAAAAUGAGACGCGAGAGGAGCUAUACUGUUUGCUAUUUUAUGUCACCAUAUAGAAAUUUUUUUCAUUCUAUCUUGCGACACGUAUCGUGUCUUGUCGUUGCUCUUAUGAUAUGACGUUGUACGUGGGAAGAAUUGUAUGCGUAAUCAUACAAAUAGUGUUCUUAAUAACGAGAAAAUUUGUUUUAUUAUUUUCUUUCUAUAAUUUUUAUCGAUAAAAUUAACUUUUGAGAGACGUUUCGAUGCAUUUAGAACAGUGGUUCUUAAUUUACAAAUCGCGAUUUAAAAAGCAAUAUAAUUUACAUAUAAUUGUCUAGAAACGUAUUUCCAUUCUAGGAACACCAGAAUGAUCAUAAUCUUUUCAUUAUUCAUUUUAUGCAAGAUGCAAGAUACGUCCAAAUGAUUCCAAACUUUUACCCAGUAAUGUACACUGAGACUCUGGAUUAAAAUUUAUACUUAUAAAUAAAUAACGCAUCCUCUCGAAUACAACAUCGCCAGCAACGAAUGAUUCAACGAGCCGAGAUAAGGUCUCGGUCCGAGUAUUUACAAUUCAUUUAUCGAUAACCUGCUUCACGGAUAAAAAAGCGAGGGAAAGAGAAGAGUGGAAGAUAAAAUAGAGAGGGGGAAGUUGGUCGGUGAAACGAUUCCGUGAUUAAGAGUAGGAUGAUCGGGGGCCGCAUUUUGCGUGCUCAAGCAUGCGUAAGUCCGAGGGCAGAAUACGGUUAUACGCCGACCAAGCUGUGUCAUCGUCGGCCAAUGAUGGAGGAUCGAGGCCUCUCUCGUUGAUCUUGGGGAAUCGGAGGAGGAGAGUGACUCAUACCGGUAGCCAGUAGGUUUUCCGGUUAUCUGGGUUCUGGUCGCGGAUUAUGGGAGUGUCGGGAGAAAGGCUGUAAUUGACUGUGAUUAUGUUACGUCGAGUUAGGCACGGUGAGAGGUAAGGUUUCCACGGGGCACAUCGAAUUCCCUUGUUUUAGAAUUAUUCGGAAACGUAUAUAUUGAAAUGUUAUUUUUCAUCGUUUAUUCACGAUUUAUGAAAGAAAGUGGAUAAUCGAGUGAGUAAAUAGAUAGAGAAGAAAUUGAAAUUAAAUUAGUUUUCAAAGUUUACUUAGAACUUACUAAUUAUUUUCCAUUGCAUAGAUAUGUGAUCAUGUGGUACAUUUAAAUUAUUCAUUUUCAAUUAGUCUAUGAAUUAUUCAAUAGAGUAAUUGAAUAAAUUGAAUAAAAAUAUGUAGUAUUUCCUAUCUUCUGCCCUAUGCUAAUGCAAAAAAGCUAAUCCACGAUAAAUUAAACGACGUGUAACUGGUUUAAAACACGUAUACUAUAUAUAUAUAUAUAUCUCUAACGAAUCAAAUACUAUAUAUAUAAUAUAAAUUAACGUUGUUCAGUGAUUAAAAUUAUCCCAUUUGCUCUAUUUUCAAGAUAAUAUUUAUAUCGACGAUAAAAAACAUUUUUUUUAAAAUAAAAUAUACUUUAUUUACUCUAUUAAAAAUGCGACAGAGAAGAUCAUUUGCCUAUCAAAUAAAAUAGGAUUACAUCUUGGAAAAAGUUGGGAGACACUGGACCAACCUGAGUUAAUUAAUGCUGAUAUCAAGCAACAUCGAUGAAAUCACGGAACACCGGCUUCUCUCAUUUGAAUAUCAAUAUCGAGAAUUCCUUCCGCGAGUCGCACGGGCGUGGAAAGCAUAUCGGCACUCGAGUGUCAUCGUCGGUUCAAUUAUCCUCGGAUAAUUAAACCACGGCGAAUUAACGCGCGGAAUUUCGUCGUCAUUAAACCACGGUGGGAUUUACAGGUUGGAUCGGUUAAAAGGAAUCGAGAUUCCCGUGGCAUCUGAAGUAAGCUUGUUUCAUCGAAUGGAAAUGUUGAUAUCAUAGAGCUGGGAUUUCCUUUUCCACAAAUUUUCACACGAUCUUCCGUUUCGAGAUCUUCCCAUACAUGGAAGUUGAGAGUUGAAGUUGAAGGUUUACAGUUUUUCUGCAUAAACGUCUGCACACGAGAAAAUAAAUACAUACGAAAAUCUAUCGAUAAAAUCGCAAUUCUCGAACAAUUAUCUAAUCUCCGACGAAAAAAUUCAACAAUUCAAUCCGGCAGCUUCAAUUAUUCGAUUUCAAGAAAAUUUCGCGCCAAAUAAUAACCUAUUAAUCUCUCCAACUCCGCGCUUUUGGAAAUAAAUGAACAAAUAACCAAAAAAAAAGAGAGGAAAAAAUUAAAAAAAAAGAAACGAGAGAUACACCGGAGUUUAAGGCUGUAUUUAUCAUCUCGAAUCGAUCUCAAUUACCGCGAAACGUAUCGACGUUUGGCGAUCGACGAACGGUGAAUUAGCCGUGGAGAGCUUGAGGGGGAAACACCGUAUCGCGUGACAUUCGAAAUUGUACGAGAAAGCGGGCGCGGAGGGAGGGAAGAAAAGCGAGCGGCGCGAUGGAAAGCGAGCGGAUCGCGAUCGUGAUCGGGAGCACGCUCGUUAGAGAGGCCGCCGGCUCGUUACUCGGCCGCUUCUGCAUCAAAUCCGGCAAUUAAACAGCGGCGAUCGCGUUUACGCCGAGAUAAAUACCGGUCAUUUCACGAGACGAGACCGAGGCAGAGACUUAUGGGUUGAUGAAGCUUAUGCGGGGACAAGAGAAAGGUAGGAGGGAUGACAGGAGACGACCAAGGUAGUUCCUGGACUUCUAUCGAGCGCGGAUCUUCCGCUACAGUGACCUGGACGAUGACCUCUUGCACUUAUCCUUGAUCUGAAGCAGCAUAAAAUGGGAAAGGGAAAUCCUGUAUUGAUUUUUUUAGUAAAGGCAAGUGUAAACUUUUCGAGAGCACGAAUAAAACGAGCCGAGAAGCGAUCGACAAGGAGAGAGAGAAAGAAAAAGAGAGAGCAGCAACACGAAAGAAACAGGAGCGUUACGACGAUGUCCACCGAUGAAUUACCAUACCGACCGGAUUACCUUUCAUGCGCGAAACAUCUCCAUCAGCUGGAACCGCGAAUAAUCCGAUAAGCGAAUUAAGAUUAGCAGCUUCUGAUGAGCCGCUAAGUGACUAUCGACGUUUGCAUAUCGACCGGCUUCGGUGACAUGGAGCCGAGUGGCGACGUCGAUCACUAGAAAUCGAUCAUUGCCUCCUCGCUCGAUCCUCCGAUCGACGUUAUUAUCGUACACAGUGUUAGUCCACCAUCAACCAUCCAAUGAUCAACAUCUAUGCACUGAAUAGUCUCGGCAACUUUCUAAACUCUUCUCCUACCAUCAAUUUCAUCCAAAUCGAACCGACCGACGCAGCAUCUCUCUCCACCAACUGAUCAUGGAAGAUCGAAGUGUCAGGUUCCCACGAGAGCGUCGCGAAAUUCACGAACCGGCGAUCGUGUCGUCGGUUUUACGGUCCUCGUACAGGAGCUUGGAGCAGGUAUACACGUUUACGACGUCGCUGGAAAAUCGGCCGUAAACGCGACUCAGUCGUAAAGAUUGUCGAGUGGUUGCUCUCUCACGUUCCGGGCCAUUAGGAUCAGGACGGCGAAAGAGAGUCGCACGGCCCUGGAUGAAAGGAUACUUUCUCUGUCGUUCGUCGACGUUUCGGCGCAAGCGCGAUAGAUCUCAGUGAAACGGCGAUAAAACGAUCAUUUUGUUCUAGAGAGCAACAUCUUCGACGGGUUGGUGACGAGCAAUGGUUUUAUAACGAAAACAUGAUGUUAGAGGGGUUUUAUUUGAGAUAAUGUUGCACGAAAUUUUUAACUUGAUAUUUUGAGAUAAAUUGAAAAGUGAAAUCUUUUAAAUAUAAUAGUUUGAAGAGGAUUUGUAAACUUUGGCUUAAUGUUAAGUUAGGUGUAAGAUUUUGGAGAAGCUUGAUUUUGGAGAUUUUAUUUUGAAUAAUAUUAGAUUUGAAAUGAGAUCUUUAAUUUAAAUGAUACUUUUUUAAAGAUAAUUAAUUUUUUAAAAAUCUUAUUAAAUAAUUUAUCGUUGAUUGUUUGAAAUUGUAAUCUUUUUCUUCUAUAUUAAAUGUAACAGAUUUUGAAUAAAAAAACUUGAUUUUA
This is a long non-coding RNA of Apis cerana (Asiatic honeybee), 4982 nucleotides long. RefSeq lists it as uncharacterized. Lineage: Eukaryota; Metazoa; Arthropoda; Insecta; Hymenoptera; Apidae. The record is from RefSeq and is a predicted model, not a curated record.